GGGCUCACACAAGCGGUGGAGCAUGUGGCUUAAUUCGAAGCAACGCGAAGAACCUUAUCCUGGGUUUGACAUGCAUGGAUUAGCUUCCUGAAAGGGAAGUGACGCGGCUUGCCGUGGAACAUGCACAGGUGCUGCAUGGCUGUCGUCAGCUCGUGCUGUGAAGUGUCGGGUUUAAGUCCCUUAACGAGCGCAACCCCUAUCACUAGUUGCUAGCGAGUAAUGUCGAGGACUCUAGUGAGACUGCCGGUGUCAAAACCGGAGGAAGGUGGGGGAUGACGUCAAGUCCGCAUGGCCUUUAUGCCCAGGGCUGCACACGUGCUACAAUGGUUGGUACAGAACGAAGCAAGACCGCAAGGUG
RNAcentral lists this ribosomal RNA (358 nucleotides) under uncultured bacterium. RNAcentral's name for it is "bacterial SSU rRNA". It matches the Rfam family "Bacterial small subunit ribosomal RNA", at positions 917 to 1264 of the family's 1533-position model. The record is from RNAcentral.